GUGAGAGGUUCUUGUCCAAAACAACCUGAAAGUCAUGAAUGUGGUUAUUAUGUACUAAGAUACAUUUAUGAUCUUGUAAAUGCACCGAAUCCAGCAGAAGUUAUCAAGAAGAAAUGGUUUGACAAAAAGCAAUUCAAUGUCAAAGAGGAUCUACUACCACUACAAAGUGAUUGGUUAGCUAGAUUAAUGCCAUUUGUUUAUGAAAACUAAAUUUUUGUAUGUAUGUAAGAUUAAAGUGCUAACUUAUAUUGGUUAGAAUGAUUAAAGUCUUUAAUUCA
Long non-coding RNA from Humulus lupulus (European hop), 278 nucleotides. RefSeq lists it as uncharacterized. Lineage: Eukaryota; Viridiplantae; Streptophyta; Magnoliopsida; Rosales; Cannabaceae. The record is from RefSeq and is a predicted model, not a curated record. The transcript has 2 exons.